CCAAUCUCAAAAGGCUAUAUACCAUAUGAUUCCAACCAUAUGACAUUCUGGAAAAGGCAAAACUAUGGAGACAGUAAAAAAAAAAGAUUAGUCACUAAUUUUUUUUAAAAAGUAUACACACACACACACACACACACACACACACACACACACACACGAGUAUCCUGAUCAUCUUCACUACCUCUCUACUCUGGUUGAAUACCUCUCCUGUAUACUGCCUGGCAAUAUGCUUCCUUUACUCUUCUUAGAUGGUAUUAUAAUUGUUUACUUCUCUGUGAGAACAGGCAUCACACCAGUCAUGUUCACCAUUUUAGCCCUAGCUCCAGCAGAAUGUAAGAAUAUGGUAGGUACUCAAAAAUUAUCUGUUGAAUGAACACAGUAAUAAGUGAACAAAAUAAAUCUAUCCUCACUCCAGCUGAUGACUGUAUAGCAACAAUUCCUCAAACCAUUCUUUUCUGGAAGGGUCUGAUUUAAGUCUAUGUUGGAAAAACAUAGCCAAGUUCCAAUUAGAAAAGUUUUCCUGAAGGUCAGACUGACCCCAGAGUGAGCAGCUAAUUUUCUAGUGGCCUGUGGGUCAAUCGUACCUUUUAUUACUUUUCCAAACAUACGAAGGAAGCAUUAAACAGCUUGGCUGAGUUUCAUCUGUGAAAAUGGUCCAGCUCUGGCCCCUGGAAUAAAGUAGAACAGAGCCCCAGUUUAACAUUCAGAUCACUGCUGCUAUUUUCCUUCUUUACCUUUAAGAGUUUCUGAAUCCCAUCCACCCUGAGCAGGAACUGUUACACUACAUAUAACUAUAGUUGGAAUGUUCUUUUUUGUUUUUGUUUUUGUUUUUGUUUUCACUUUAUUUAUUCCUUUGAAACAAGUCACUUAAUACAGCAUUUAGAUAUUUAAAGUUAUAUACCUCAUAAAUAAAAUCAAUGCAUCUUGAUGACAAUGGCAAAAUCACAUAAGAGUUGUAGAAAAUGAAGUUAGACAUCUUCCAGGUAGCAGCAGUGCAUUACUUCAAACAAUGCUGGCAAAUAGGCAAAACAUUUUUAAAACAAGUAAACACUGUCCAUCUUCAUUAAGAAAAAAUAUUUUCUUAUGCUGUUUUCCCAUCCCUACUUUUUCAAGUCAUAUUCUAAAGCUCUAAUUUGACAGUUUUUACUUGUGGUUUUCUUUCUGCGUCAGGAACCUCUGUCUCUACUGCAUUAAUACAGAAACUAUAGGAAUAUUGUUGUUCUCUAACCCUUUUCACAAGCUAUUCAUAUUCAUUCUGUAUUUAGGCUGAAUUCAAAUUUUUUUCAAGGAAAAAUACUACUCUGCUAAGUACAUAUUUCCUGUAAACAGCUGGAGUCCUGAAUGGCACCAGUGUGACUGAAAACUGACAAAAAUUAGGUCCACUGGUCCUUUAAGUAACUUAUGGGCUAAUAACAUAGGCUAUACCAGUUUAUAAAGUAGACUCACGUAAUCAUAUUAGAAAUUCUGAGCCUAAGAUUAUCCUUUCUGUUUACCUACAACUUAAUCAAAUUAUAUCUUCACUAUUCCUAAACUCCUAUAUGUUGGUUAGUAAUUUUAAAAAUAUAAGUAUAAAAGGGCAUCAUGGCAAAAUGCUUAUAAUUCAUGGUUUCAUACUUUAAUGAUAAGCUUUUUCACCUAUGGCCAUGCUACAUUCUAUGACAAGAAAUGGGGAAGAAGGGUUGAGUUGACACAAAGGCAUUGCUUUAAAAAUGUUUGGAAAAGCAUAAUUCAUGACUAGGAAUGCAUCUAUUUGACAAUCUCUUCUUUAUCAGUGGUACUUUGUCCUCUUGGCCCUUUUCUCCCUUCACUCUACCAUGAGGGGGUUACCAACCUCCUUUAAAUGUAUAUGAAUCAAGACCUAAAUCAGCACCCUACACUUCAACAUCAAUAAUAAUUUUAAGUCAAAUAUUCAAAGCACUGUAAGCAAAAUGCUAGAUAAUUUUGAGAAAAAUAAACACUCUCCCACAACCAGGGAUAUUUAAUAUUCUUUUUAUGUUGAAUGAAAUGUGCUGAAAUACUGUAACAUAAGAAAACAGCUUUAGUUAAUAAACUAGCUUAUUAAAAUCAAGGGUUUCACUUUGGACUUAAAAUGAUGCCACUUGUAUAUGACACUUUUAAGGCCUCUGCCUCAAAAAUCAGCUUCCUUAUAAGUCUGUUUGGAAACAAGUUUUAAGGAUUGAAUCUUUUAGAAAUUAUCAGGAACGUUCUUUUGAGUUCUCAGCAGGCAUCUCUCCUGGAGAGGAAUCCAUUUGAGACAACUUUAAAGCAGCCUCCAACUCAGGUAGAGAUCCGAAAUUUACACAUGUAUCCAGGAUAGGUGACUGACACUCAUGGAUGAUCCCUGGGUCAGUCUCUGACCUCCAGUCCAACUUAUCUUCCUAAAAGUCCCUGUGCAUUUUCUUCUGUCCCUUCCUUCUGUGAGGAGUGUUCCUGUAAUCAGCUGUCCUGAGGUACCUAGGAC
RNAcentral lists this long non-coding RNA (2461 nucleotides) under Homo sapiens (human). Its description in RNAcentral is "HSALNT0146389". The record is from RNAcentral. Lineage: Eukaryota; Metazoa; Chordata; Mammalia; Primates; Hominidae.